RNAcentral lists this long non-coding RNA (352 nucleotides) under Carica papaya (papaya). Its description in RNAcentral is "long non-coding RNA (CPAP_LNC004578)". Lineage: Eukaryota; Viridiplantae; Streptophyta; Magnoliopsida; Brassicales; Caricaceae. The record is from RNAcentral.
CUGGAGGUGGAGACGCCGGAGGGGGACUAGCAGGGGGAGGAGAAGCCGGAGGAGGAGAUGCCGGAGGUGGUGAAGCAGGAGGUGGUGAAGCCGGAGGAGGAGAUGCUGGAGGAGGAGAAGCCGGAGGAGGGGAUGCAGGAGGGGGAGAUGCAGGAGGAGGAGAAGCAGGAGGUGGAGAUGAAGGAGGAGGAGAGGAAACCGGCGGCGGUGUCGCCGGAGGUGGAGAGGUGACCGCCGGUGGUGGACUCGCCGCUGGAGGUGGAGUAAAAGCUGGAGGUGGCGUAGUGGUAGGAGGAGCCGGCGUAGUAGUCGGAGGUGUCCCCGGAGACUGCGCCGCCACGUUGGCUAAUAC